This 2622-nucleotide long non-coding RNA is filed under the name Sinocyclocheilus anshuiensis. Its description in RNAcentral is "lncRNA (ENSSANG00000000698.1)". Lineage: Eukaryota; Metazoa; Chordata; Actinopteri; Cypriniformes; Cyprinidae. The record is from RNAcentral.
CAGGCUUCUCGCCAUGUGUGCAGCGAGGGUGGUGAAAAGCCUGAGAUACAAGAUGACAAGUGUGAGCACGAAGUAGAGUCGCGUUUAAUUAAUUCCCCUCUCUCCCUUGGGAGCCGCGCUUUGCUAGUAUGUGAUACAUUUUGAGUUGUAAUCGACGAAAUAACUCGCGAUUGCAGUAUUCCGUGGGAGCGCCUUUGAGUUUGUGGAAUCAAUGUGGGGCUGCCUGCCUCACAAGUAUAGGGUGAAAACCAUAAAUAUUGUCGAGUUGACCUAGAGAUUAAAAUUGUUGCAUGGCGUUACAUGCUAUGUAGGCUGCCACACUGUAGGCCUAAUAAAUGUGUGGAAGUACCACCGUACCUGCCCAUGAGCGUAGCUGAAAAACUGGACACCCAUAGUGGUCACUGAAUGGCACAAGCUUCAGCAUCACCCUUCUCCAAUAAUCACAUGAGACAAGAAAACACUGAAAGAUCCAAAAGAAGAGGAAUGGACAAUGAUCCUGUCAUUGUCAGAGGAUCCCAGGCUCCUCAUCCUGAGAAACAGCCCAGCCAAGCAGGCAGGAGUGUGCCCACCAAACCCCAGGCUUUUCAUUUGGAUCCAUUCUGUAACCCCGCCCUCUCACUCCAAGUCAUGCCUCCAAUCCAUGCAUGACAGUUUCCAACAUCCCCUGCCAAAAUUGUUUCCUGGAUGCAUUGUGAUCCAUGCUAUCAGCUUCCUGACCUCCGAGUUCUGCGUCUCACACUUUUUUUUUUUUCAUCCUCUCAAGCAUGUCAGCAGUUUCUUACUGGCUUGCGAGACGCUGCCCCCACAGUGUGUGGUCUUGUGCCUGUACGGCCUCAUGAGGUUUGUUUACGUGUGUAUUUGAUUCCACUCUAUGAACACGUUCACAAAGAUGCACUCCAUAAGAUAAAGAGAAGCACAGGGUCUUGUCAUUCUUCCACAGCUUAAUCAGGAGCUACACAGAGGAGAGGAGCGCCGCGGCACGGACCUUCCUGAUCAUUCUAAUGAGGACCCCUGGCAAUGCAGCCAGCGCAGUAUAAUUGACUUAUUCGUCUCUUAUUUUCAUAAUAGACACUCCCUGACCCAGAGCACAUUUAGUUUGCUAUGAGAGAUGUCAGAAAGCAUUGGAAGUUUUCUCCGCACGCCCAUUAAAUCUGAAGGCAUGCCACCCUGUCUCCGGUCGGCCAGCACUGUCAUUGGCUGCCCAGCUCAUUAUGCAGAUGGAAAAUGUAAGUAAAUGAUUCCAAGAUUGGCCGAAAACCUUCCUUGCCCAUACACACCCUGCGCCCCCUCCACCCUGGAGCCUUUCAAGGCAUCCAACCAGGCUCAAAAAUAAAAAAAAUACAGUUCUGUUCCUCUGAAAAAAUAAAAAUUACAUAUAAAUAAUAAAAGCGCAGCAGUGCCCCUUGACGUGAAAACCAGGGGAAGCAUGUGGAUGUCAUUGUUGUUGCAACAAGGCCUGCCAUCUACCUUUCAGGACCAAUUGAAAUCAAAUUUUGUGGAGGUAUAACCACAUUUUUUGUGGAGGUAAGGGUUAGCCAGUGAGGGUGAGCCCCGGAUCUCUGUCCCUGCUAGCUGAUAUGAAACAGAACAGCUGUGGAUAUCAGUGCCCCCACGCAAUUCUCCACUGACCAUGUCUGCUGCGAUUUUUGGAGCUGUCGCAUUAGUUGCUAUGGACAGCCGUAAUGGGAUACAUCCUCAUAGAUCUGGCAUUGAGAACACAGAAUUAGAUCAUUAUCACUUAAGUAAACCUACUACUGGCACAUUUUAAAAUGUCUGCAAGUAAUUUGCUGCUUUGCAAGUAUUCGACAUCCUCUAUUUCCUGGCACACAUAGAAAAGUCCUAGAAAAUAUUACAUCUCUAAUAGGUUUUUUUGCAUUAUACGUGUGAGGAAAAAGCCACCGUCUUCUUUCCUUCUGUAUUUUCUGUCUCUGCGUUGUUUAAUGAGAUGAUUGUGUCUCCCAUGUGCCUUCAUUGAACUUUUAUUUUGUGGUCGGCCUUCUAUUGCUCGUGGCGCAGCGGCUGAGAUACGGGAACAUCAUUAAAGUAAUUACUACAAGCUCUAGUAGUUGCAGGAAAAUAAUAUGGUGGGGGUGGUCUUUUUUUGCACAGACAGGAAAUCCUUUUUUCACCGAACAUUCAGCACUGCCGUGAUUGUUAGAACAGACAGGACCCAUCGCAUUUCCUGUACCUGUUAAGGAAAUGAUGGAAAUGGAGAAAGAGAUGGAAAAUCCUGGUGGUGGUAUGCCUUCUAUUCAGUCAUUGUCAGAAUACAGUUGUCAGCCCUGUUUUAGAGUGCUAAGUACGGUUAUGUUCACACACAGUUCUGUUAUGAACCAAAGUGACAACUGUAUUCUGUAACUGAAUACACUCUCCUAAAUUUUCUGCAUUCUGAGUGACGUUGGUUAAAACUGGUCUGGGUGAAUGAAACUGCACUGAACAACAAGUUUUCUGUCAUGUCAUAUAGUGCAGUAGACAAUCAGUCUGUACUGUACAUAAACUAAUGCGUGGGUUGUGUUUUCAUGUUGGCCUUCCGUGGUCUGCUGUUGAUUAUUUAAGAUUAGAUGCAUUAGUUUGUGCCUUUAUUGCAUUAAUUUAUACUAUCAAAUUGUGUCAGUUGAGAAG